This 468-nucleotide ribosomal RNA is filed under the name uncultured bacterium. RNAcentral's name for it is "partial 16S ribosomal RNA". It matches the Rfam family "Bacterial small subunit ribosomal RNA", at positions 28 to 507 of the family's 1533-position model. The record is from RNAcentral.
GACGAACGCUGGCGGCGUGCUUAACACAUGCAAGUCGAACGGAAAGGCCCUGCUUUUGUGGGGUGCUCGAGUGGCGAACGGGUGAGUAACACGUGAGUAACCUGCCCUUGACUUUGGGAUAACUUCAGGAAACUGGGGCUAAUACCGUAUAUGAGCUCCUGCUGCAUGGUGGGGGUUGGAAAGUUUCGGCGGUUGGUGAUGGACUCGCGGCUUAUCAGCUUUUUGGUGGGGUAGUGGCUUACCAAGGCUUUGACGGGUAGCCGGCCUGAGAGGGUGACCGGCCACAUUGGGACUGAGAUACGGCCCAGAAUCCUACGGGAGGCAGCAGUGGGGAAUAUUGCACAAUGGGCGGAAGCAUGAUGCAGAAACGCCGCGUGCGGGAUGACGGCCUUCGGGUUGUAAACCGAUUGCGCCUGUGACGAAGCGUGAGUGACGGUAAUGGGUAAAGAAGCACCGGCUAACUACGUG